RNAcentral lists this non-coding RNA (104 nucleotides) under Ruegeria sp. E923. RNAcentral's name for it is "Silicibacter sp. TPP sequence". It matches the Rfam family "TPP riboswitch aptamer (THI element)". From Rfam's summary of the family: Vitamin B(1) in its active form thiamin pyrophosphate (TPP) is an essential coenzyme that is synthesised by coupling of pyrimidine and thiazole moieties in bacteria. The previously detected thiamin-regulatory element, thi box was extended, resulting in a new, highly conserved RNA secondary structure, the THI element, which is widely distributed in eubacteria and also occurs in some archaea. RNAcentral also lists the same sequence under 1 other name. The record is from RNAcentral. Lineage: Bacteria; Pseudomonadati; Pseudomonadota; Alphaproteobacteria; Rhodobacterales; Roseobacteraceae.
AGCGAACCGUUGGGGUGCCUCCUGGAGGCUGAGAGGCGUGCAUGCGCUAACCCAUCGAACCUGAUCCGGGCAAUACCGGCGUAGGGAACGGUCUACUGAUGUGC